UACGGAGGGUGCAAGCGUUAAUCGGAAUUACUGGGCGUAAAGCGCGCGUAGGUGGUUGGGUAAGUCAGAUGUGAAAGCCCCGGGCUCAACCUGGGAACUGCAUUUGAUACUGCCUGGCUAGAGUAUGGUAGAGGGGGGUGGAAUUCCCGGAGUAGCGGUGAAAUGCGUAGAUAUCGGGAGGAACACCAGUGGCGAAGGCGGCCCCCUGGACCAAUACUGACGCUGAGGUGCGAAAGCGUGGGGAGCAAACAGG
RNAcentral lists this ribosomal RNA (253 nucleotides) under uncultured bacterium. RNAcentral describes it as "partial 16S ribosomal RNA". It matches the Rfam family "Bacterial small subunit ribosomal RNA", at positions 524 to 776 of the family's 1533-position model. The record is from RNAcentral.